This 2875-nucleotide small RNA is filed under the name Pan troglodytes (chimpanzee). RNAcentral describes it as "retained intron". The record is from RNAcentral. Lineage: Eukaryota; Metazoa; Chordata; Mammalia; Primates; Hominidae.
AUAUCAAAGUUUCUCAUUGGUUGGACUUGGGAGAUAAUACCCAGAUUUGCUAGACUGUCUACCUAUCUUUGCAUCCCACUGCCAAUAUUUCCUACCUCUUUCCAGUAAGUCUCUUUUCCCACUUUUUACUCCAUUACUCUUUAACUUAUAAUGUACUUUUUGCCUUCUUAUGUUGAAACCAAAUUCUGAACAGAAUGAAAGAUCUUCUGACUGACCUGGCUAGAGAAGGAGAAGCAUUUCUUGGUGGGACUCAAUGUAAUGUCAUAGACACUACGUCUGCAACUUGCUAUUAUCUCCACGGCCAAUAUACCAAACUUGUAGAAAUAUUCAUAUUUUUGUGUUUCUAGUACUUCUCUUACGGAAUUACCAGUUAAUCAUAGGGCCGCGAUGUACACCAAAACAAUGUCAUAUAUAAGAUAAAAUGUGCCCCCAGUGUUUUCCUAAGUUUAGCAUCUACUUUCCAGUCACUCCUUUUGUACCUUCUCCCUAAAGCUGGCAUUGGAUUAUUUGGCUAUCGGAAUUCAAUGCUCCUGGUUGUCCUUCUGUUGCUUUUCCUUUUGAAUCACGUGGUUUCUUGAAAUAAUCACAACUUGGACUUCCACCAUGUGUUUUAUAUUUCUUUUGUCCACCCUCCUCUACCCUAAGAAAGAGCUCCCUACCCUUUAACGGAUAGGCAGCUUUCUUUCCCCUCUAGAACAGCUCAAAGAUGUUGCUUAUGGCACCCGACCGUUGUCGUUAUGUUUGGAAACACUGCCAGCCCAUGGAGAUGAGGAUAAAGUGGAUAUUUCUCUGCUGCAUCAGGGUGAGAAUCUUUUUGAACUGCACAUCCACCAGGCCUUCCUGACAUCUGCUGCCCUAGCUCAGGCUGGAGAUACCCAACCUACCACUUUCUGCACCUAUUCCUUCUAUGACUUCGAAACCCACUGUACCCCAUUAUCUGUGGGGCCACAGCCCCUCUAUGACUUCACCUCCCAGUAUGUGAUGGAGACAGAUUCGCUUUUCUUACACUACCUUCAAGAGGCUUCAGCCCGGCUUGACGUAUACCAGGCCGUGGCCAGUGAACACAGCACUCUUGCUGCAGGAUGGAUUUGCUUUGACAGGGUGCUAGAGACUGUGGAGAAAGUCCAUGGCUUGGCCACACUGAUUGGAGCUGGUGGAGAAGAGUUCGGGGUUCUAGAGUACUGGAUGAGGCUGCGUUUCCCCAUAAAACCCAGCCUACAGGCAUGCAGUAAACGAAAGAAAGCCCAGGUCUACCUGUCAACCGAUGUGCUUGGAGGCCGGAAGGCCCAGGAAGAGGAGUUCAGAUCGGAGUCUUGGGAACCUCAGAACGAGCUGUGGAUUGAAAUCACCAAGUGCUGUGGCCUCCGGAGUCGAUGGCUGGGAACUCAACCCAGUCCAUAUGCUGUGUACCGCUUCUUCACCUUUUCUGACCAUGACACUGCCAUCAUUCCAGCCAGUAACAACCCCUACUUUAGAGACCAGGCUCGAUUCCCAGUGCUUGUGACCUCUGACCUGGACCAAUAUCUGAGACGGGAGGCCUUGUCUAUACAUGUUUUUGAUGAUGAAGACUUAGAGCCUGGCUCGUAUCUUGGCCGAGCCCGAGUGCCUUUACUGCCUCUUGCAAAAAAUGAAUCUAUCAAAGGUGAUUUUAACCUCACUGACCCUGCAGAGAAACCCAACGGAUCUAUUCAAGUGCAACUGGAUUGGAAGUUUCCCUACAUACCCCCUGAGAGUUUCCUGAAACCAGAAGCUCAGACUAAGGGGAAGGAUACCAAGGACAGUUCAAAUAUCUCAUCUGAAGAGGAAAAGGCUUCAUUUCCUUCCCAGGAUCAGAUGGCAUCUCCUGGGGUUCCCAUUGAAGCUGGCCAGUAUCGAGCUAAGAUAAAACCUCCUCACGGGGGAGAAAGAAAGGAAAAGGAGCACCAGGUUGUGAGCUACUCAAGAAGAAAACAUGGCAAAAGAAUAGGCGUUCAAGGAAAGAAUAGAAUGGAGUAUCUUAGCCUUAACAUCUUAAAUGGAAAUACACCAGAGCAGGUGAAUUACACUGAGUGGAAGUUCUCAGAGACUAACAGCUUCAUAGGUGAUGGCUUUAAAAAUCAGCACAAGGAAGAGGAAAUGACAUUAUCCCAUUCAGCACUGAAACAGAAGGAACCUCUACAUCCUGUAAAUGAUAAAGAAUCCUCUGAACAAGGUUCUGAAGUCAGUGAAGCACAAACUACCGACAGUGAUGAUGUCAUAGUGCCACCCAUGUCUCAGAAAUAUCCUAAGGCAGAUUCAGAGAAGAUGUGCAUUGAAAUUGUCUCCCUGGCCUUCUACCCAGAGGCAGAAGUGAUGUCUGAUGAGAACAUAAAACAGGUGUACGUGGAGUACAAAUUCUACGACCUACCCUUGUCGGAGACAGAGACUCCAGUGUCCCUAAGGAAGCCUAGGGCAGGAGAAGAAAUCCACUUUCACUUUAGCAAGGUAAUAGACCUGAACCCACAGGAGCAGCAAGGCCGAAGGCAGUUUCUGUUCGACAUGCUGAAUGGACAAGAUCCUGAUCAAGGACAUUUAAAGUUUACAGUGGUAAGUGAUCCUCUGGAUGAAGAAAAGAAAGAAUGUGAAGAAGUGGGAUAUGCAUAUCUUCAACUGUGGCAGAUCCUGGAGUCAGGAAGAGAUAUUCUAGAGCAAGAGCUAGACAUUGUUAGCCCUGAAGAUCUGGCUACCCCAAUAGGAAGGCUGAAGGUUUCCCUUCAAGCAGCUGCUGUCCUCCAUGCUAUUUACAAGGAGAUGACUGAAGAUUUGUUUUCAUGAAGGAACAAGUGCUAUUCCAAUCUAAAAGUCUCUGAGGGAACCAUAGUAAAAAGUCUCUUAUAAAGUUAGCUUGCUAUAACAU